Molecule: long non-coding RNA, 1411 nt
Filed under: Equus caballus (horse)
Lineage: Eukaryota; Metazoa; Chordata; Mammalia; Perissodactyla; Equidae
Description: lncRNA (ENSECAG00000049775.1)
Source: RNAcentral
CAAUCCAUGUUUUAUUCUUAUUUGCAUGUCCAAUGAUCAGCCCUUUGAGAAGAUCCCAAUCUGAUGGGGAAAAAUAUCAAACUCUCAAUAAUAUAUGGCAGGCAUCCAUACUAGCAUUAACAAUUAUUAGCAAUAAUAACCAUAAAAUCAAUAACGCUGUUAUUAUAUCACAUAGUGUGGACUCAGGGAGACACAGAAAACACUCUAGGGAAAAGAGAGGAAAAAAUAAUUCCAACUCUGGGUAUCAGGGAGAAGUUUUUGAAGGAAGGAUAUAAAACACCAUCUUUCCUUACCUGUUAUGUUUACUGCUGCUGUGUAGCACGCUCACUAGGAUGUCAGCUUCAUGAAGGCAGGACCUUGUUGAUUUUGUCAAAUCUUUAUUGCGAGUGCUUGAAACAGAGCCUGGAACAUCAUAGGUUCUCAAGAAAUCCUUGUGAAAUAAAGAAGGAAGUGUUCCCACCCAUCUCCUAAGGAUUCCCUCUGCCCUACAGGCAGCAAGAAGUUCCUUUCAAGAGAAACUAGCCCAUCUUUCAGAGGGGAAUCUGGCAUCCUUGUCUGAGAAGGCAACUUUCAAGCUGAUAAUUGAAUGAUAAGAUUGAGUUAAGGAGAGCAGCCUGUUCUUCCACGGAUUCCUUGUCCUCGCUCUAUGGCCUUCAGGUGGAAUCAGUCUUGUGGAUUGAAUUGGAAGAAAUUCAUUCAUCAUGUUAAUCCGAGCUAAAAAUACUAAAAGAUUCCAAGCAAACUUUGGGAAGCAGGACCUGAACCUCCAAGCUUCAGUGAGUGCUCUGCUCUUUGCCAGGCUUUGGGUGCCCUCUGCAGCCAUGUGAGCCUCUGUCUCUACCACCAGCACUGCCCUAGGCCUGCAGCCCAGGGAGGGGUCUCCCUGCAGCUGUAGCUCUGCAGCCACAGGCUGCACUGCCUGUUUCCCUGGGUGGAGGAGAUGGUAAUAGAGCAGUGGAGAGGGCCUAUGAGCUUGGACAAACUAGUUACAGAUGCCCCAGGGCAGCAGCCUGCUGCAACAGAAAGGCCUCCAGCUUAGGAACGUGUGAGCCAAUAUUCAUUUAGCACCUGCUAUGAGUCAAAUACCCAUUCACUCAUUCAUUCACUAAUCAAAUUUUGAUUAAAGGCCUCCCAGGUGCCAGGGCACUGGAAUGCAGAAGAGGAAAGCAAGCCGAAAAACAAAAACAAAUUCCUGCCUUCACGAAGUUGAUAGUCUAGCGAGGAAAGACAAUAAAUAAGAUAAAUAAGUAAAACAGCCAGUAGGUUAGAUAGUGGUAAUUGCUGAGGAGAAGAUAUGAAGCAGGACGAGGGCUAUGAAGGUUCCCGGUAGGGGUGGGAGCAGGGGAGCUUAAGAUCAAGUGUCUAUGGAAAGCCUGGCUAAGAAGGCAACGUUGCAAUACGGACCCUCAGG